Molecule: non-coding RNA, 95 nt
Organism: Pteropus alecto (black flying fox)
Lineage: Eukaryota; Metazoa; Chordata; Mammalia; Chiroptera; Pteropodidae
Source: Rfam
UGGAAAGUUCACUGUUCGACACCAUGGAUCUCCAGGUGGGUCACGUUUUGAGAUACACCAACCUGGAGGACUCCAUGCUGUUGAGCUGUUCACAA